This 253-nucleotide ribosomal RNA is filed under the name uncultured bacterium. RNAcentral describes it as "partial 16S ribosomal RNA". It matches the Rfam family "Bacterial small subunit ribosomal RNA", at positions 524 to 776 of the family's 1533-position model. The record is from RNAcentral.
UACGUAGGUGGCAAGCGUUGUCCGGAAUUACUGGGCGUGAAGAGCGCGUAGGCGGGAAUUUAAGUCAGGAGUGAAAACUGUGGGCUCAACCUACAGCCUGCUCUUGAAACUGGAUUUCUUGAGGGUAUGAGAGGAAAGCGGAAUUCCUAGUGUAGCGGUGAAAUGCGUAGAUAUUAGGAGGAACACCAGUGGCGAAGGCGGCUUUCUGGCAUACAACUGACGCUGAGGCGCGAAAGCGUGGGGAGCAAACGGG